CGACCAAUGGGAGGCGGCCGGGCCGGGAGCGGGGCCAAUGGCAGCGGCUGGCGGAGACGCGGCCCUUUAAGAAGCCGCGGGCGCCCUAGGGGGCAGAGCACCGGAUAACAGCUGCAGCAGCAACGCGGCGGCCGCCACCAUGGCCCUGCAGGCUGAUUUUGACAGGGCUACAGAAGAUGUGAGGAAGCUGAAAGCAAGACCAGAUGAUGGAGAACUGAAAGAACUCUAUGGGCUUUACAAACAAGCGAUAAUUGGAGACAUUAAUAUUGAGUGUCCAGGAAUGCUAGAUUUAAAAGGCAAAGCCAAAUGGGAGGCAUGGAACCUCAAAAAAGGGUUGUCGACGGAAGAUGCGAUGAGUGCCUAUAUUUCUAAAGCAAAGGAGCUGAUAGAAAAAUAUGGAAUUUAGAAUACAGCAUACGAGGAAUAUUUGCUUUUGAAGCCUUCCUAAUGCUAUCAUGACCUAACAUUUAGAGGGAGAGGCACACUGUUAACUUGAUGUAUCAUGUAGAUUUUUGCUAUUAGCAUGAAUUGUAAUACUUAGGAGCAUACUGAAACUACAUAGUUUACUCAAUUGUACUUGCUUAAACCAGGUGUCUUUAAAGUUCUUUUUAAGAAAAUAUGGUACAUAUACACCAUGGAAUACUAUGCAGCCAUGAAAAAGGAUGAGUUCCUGUCCUUUGCGGGGACAUGGAUGAAGCUGGAAAGCAUCAUUCUCAGCAAACUAUCACAAGAUCAGAAAACCAAGCAUGUUCUCACUCAUAAGUGGGAGUUGAACAGUGAGAUCACAUGGACACAGGGAGGGGAACAUCACACACCGGGGCCUGUCGGGGGUGGGGGGCUAGGGGAGGGAUAACAUUAGGAGAAAUACCUAAUGUAGGUGACCGGUUGAUGGGUACAGCAAACCACCAGGGCACGUGUAUACCUCUGUUACAAAACUGCGCGUUCUGCACAUGUAACCCAGAACUUAAGGUAUUUAAAAUUAAAAAAAGUUCUUUUAGAAAAGUAUUUUGUGUUUUAUUUUUAUAGAGUUAGAGAGGACAACUGCAGUUUUUAUUCGUUUGCUUGUUUGUUUUUCCUUGAGGAGUCUCGUUUUCUCACCCAGGCUGGAGUACAGUGGUGCGAUCUCGGCUCACUGGAAACUCUGCCUCCUGGGUUCAAGUGAUUCUCUUGCCUCAGCCUCCUGAGUACCUGGGAUUACAGGCGCUUGCCACCCUGGCUGGCUAAUUUUUGUAUUUUAGUACAGAUAGGGUUUUGCCAUGUUGGCCAGAGUGGUCUCGAACUCCUGACUUCAGGUGAUCUGCACACCUUGGCCUCCCACAGUGCUGGGGUUAUAGGUAUGAGCCACCACACCUGGUCACAAGUGCAGUUCUGUUGCAUGGAUAUAUUGUGUGGUGGGGAAAUCUGGGCUUUUAGUGUAACCAUCACCCAAACACUGUACAUUGUACCCAAAAGGUAAUUUCUCAUCCCUCACGCCCUCCCACCUUUCCAAGCCUCCAGUGUCUAUUAUUCCACACUCCAGGACCCUGUGUUCACACUGCUUAACUCCCACUUAUAAGUGAAAGCGUGGUACUUCUUUUGUUUGUUUCUGAGGGUUUUAAAAAAUCUUUAUUUUCUUGUUUUUUUGUUUUGUUUUGUUUUUUUCUGAAUUUUUUCACUUAAGAUAAUAGCCUCCAGUUCCACUCAUGUUGCUGCAACAUUUUCUUUUAUGGCUGAGUAAUAUCCCCUGGUAUACAUAUACCACGUUUUCUUUAUCCCGUCAUCCGCUGAUGGAUACUUAGGUUGAUCCCAUGUCUUUGCUAUUGUGAAUUGUGCUGCAAUAGACAUACAAGGCAGGUAUCUUUUGGAUAGAAUGACUUCUUUUCCUUUAAGAAGAUGCCCAGUAGUGGGAUUGCUGGGUAGAAUGGUAGUUCUAUUUUUAGUUCCGCCAGAAAUUCCCAUGCUGUUUUUUUAUAGAGGUUGUACUAAUUUACAUUCCCACCAACAGUGUAUAUGCAUUCCCUUUCUCCACAUCUGUUGUUUGACUUUUUAGAAAGUCUCACCCUGGUAAUAUGUGUACAGAUUUGAACAGCUGUUUGUUCUUUUGGCUCAUCUGUUCUGUUACAAAGAGUUAAUGUUACUGGUGAAAUAAAAACAGGUUAUUAAGAAUCAAUGGCAAGGCUGAACGUGGUGGCUCAUGCCUGUAAUCUCAGCACUUUGGGAGGCCGAGGCGGGUGAAUCACUGAGGUCAGAAGUUCGAGACCAGCCUGACCAACAUUGCAAAACCUCAUCUCCACUAAAAAUACAAAAAUUGUUAUCCGUCUCUUAAACGGAAAAAAAAAAAAAAAAAAAAGAAUCAAUGGUAAGACUGUUCCUUCCUUACACCAUGUGGCUUUGAGGUCACAGUGAUACAGAGACUGUGAACCAGAGAACAUACUUGGUUCAGGUCCUCAUUCAUCUGUGAACGUGCUAGGUGACCUGGAGCAAGUUACUUAACCUUAUUAAGCCUUAUCUGUAGAGGAGGGAAAAUAAUUAUCACUCUCAAAGGGCAGUUCUAAGAAUUGAAAGAGAGGCUGGGUGCGGUGGCUCAUGCCUGUAAUCCCAGCACUUUGGGAGGCUGAGGUGGGUGGAUCACGAGGUCAGGAGAUCAAGACCCUCCUGGCUAACACGGUGAAACCCCGUUUCUACCAAAAAUACACAAAAUUAGCCGGGUGUGGUGGCGGGCACCUGUAGUCCCAGCUACUCGGGAGACUGAGGCAGGAGAAUGGCAGAGAAUAGCAUGAACCCAGGAGGCGGAGCUUGCAGUGAGCAGAGAUCCCGCCACUGCUCUCCAGCCUGGGUGACAGAGCGAGACUCCAUCUCAAAAAAAAAAAAAAAAGAAAAAAAAGAAAUGUACAAGUCUGCCCAUAGCAGUUUAAAGAAAUUUAAAAAGCCACCAUAGAAAUAUCUCCUGUUUUUCUUUAAAUUUUUACAUUUAAGACAAAUAAAAAAGCAAACUAAAAUGUAUCUAAUGAUAAACUGUACCACUACUGUACCCCAUGUGUUCAGUUCUAUCAGAGUAAAAAGAGUCUGGAAUAUAAUAUUGGCCCCCGACUCAGUCUUUCUGGAUGGUACACAGGCUCUUUGAAAGAAGAGUCUGUUGUUAACAAUUCAAAAAAUUGUUUGAGAUUUCUUAAGAUAAAUAUCCCCCCAAAACAGUGCACCUCUAUUCCCCACAUAACAAUUUAGAUUUGGAAUUGUAUGACCAGAGAAAUAGAUCAACUUCAUGUUACUGCUACAACAACAACAGAACUGUCUAGGUCCGCUAGAUAAAUUUCCAGGGAAUUACGAUGAGCAGAAAAAGCCAGUCCCCAAACGUUACAUGUAUAAUUCCAUUUAUGUAACGUUCUUUUUCUUUUCUUUUCUUUUUAGACAGGGUGUCAUUCUUUUACCCAGGAUGCAGUGCAGUGGCACCAUCUCAGUUCACUGCAACCUCUGCCUCCCAGGGUCAAGCAAUCCUCCCAUCUCAGCCUCCCGAGUAGCUGGGACUACAGGUGCAUGCAACCAUGCCCGGCUAAUUCUUGUAUUUUUCACAGAGACAGGGUUUCACCAUGUUUUCCCAGGUUGGUCUGGAACUCCUGAUCUGAGGUGAUCUACCCACCUCGGCCUCACAAAGUGCUGAGACUACAGGCACGAGCCACCGCACCCGGCCUCUCUUUCAAUUCUUAGAACAGCCCUUUGAGAGUGAUAACUAUUUUCGCUCCUCUACAGAUAAGGCUUAAUAAGGUUAAGUAACUUGCUUUUUAAGUUACUUAAUAACUUAAAUUAUUAAGUAUUAAGCCACCGCGUCCAGCCAGGAUUCCUGAAGGGGAAAAUUUAUAGACACAAAGGAUGGAAUAGUGGUUGCCAGGGAGGAGGGAGGUUAGUGUGGCUUUAAAAGGGCAGCAGGAGGGAUGAUCCUGCAGUGAUGGAAUGUUCUGUGUCCUGAUUGUAGCAACACCAAUAUCCUGCUUGUGAUAUUACACUAUAUUUCCUAUAACAGUUACCAUUAAAGGAAAUUGGGUUAAAGGCUA
This is a non-coding RNA of Macaca mulatta (Rhesus monkey), 4028 nucleotides long. Lineage: Eukaryota; Metazoa; Chordata; Mammalia; Primates; Cercopithecidae. The record is from RefSeq and is a predicted model, not a curated record.